This 77-nucleotide transfer RNA is filed under the name Corynebacterium tuberculostearicum SK141. RNAcentral's name for it is "tRNA-Met". It matches the Rfam family "tRNA". Rfam says of the family: Transfer RNA (tRNA) molecules are approximately 80 nucleotides in length. The record is from RNAcentral. Lineage: Bacteria; Bacillati; Actinomycetota; Actinomycetes; Mycobacteriales; Corynebacteriaceae.
UGGCGGUGUAGCUCAGUGGUAGAGCAAGCGACUCAUAAUCGCUGUGUCGCGAGUUCAAUUCUCGCCAUCGCUACCGG